AUACGUAGGGGGCAAGCGUUGUCCGGAAUCAUUGGGCGUAAAGGGUGAGUAGGCGGGAUGGUAAGUCAGAGGUGAAAGUCCAGGGCUCAACUCUGGAUCUGCCUCUGAUACUGCUGUCCUUGAGUGCGGGAGAGGGAAGUGGAAUUCCCGGUGUAGCGGUGAAAUGCGUAGAUAUCGGGAAGAACACCAGUGGCGAAGGCGGCUUCCUGGCCCGCAACUGACGCUGAAUCACGAAAGCGUGGGGAGCAAACAGGAUUAGAAACCCGAGUAGUCC
Molecule: ribosomal RNA, 274 nt
Filed under: uncultured bacterium
Lineage: Bacteria
Description: partial 16S ribosomal RNA
Rfam family: Bacterial small subunit ribosomal RNA
Source: RNAcentral